CAAAGCUCACGUGUUGAAACAAUUUUCCCAAUUAAGGUUGACAAUGAGGCAAUUAAAGACCAGCAGCCUCUUCUCCGUUCUUCUUCAUCUCGUUGAAGCCAAGAAUAACCCUCUCAUCUUCUUUCCACUUUUGAUCAACCACAGCAGCCCCGAUUGUGCUCCUCCUUCCCUGUCAAAUGAAGCAACCAAAAAAACCCACUGAUUCCUUCUUCAUUUUUCUGUUAAAGAAACCAUUGGAGGUGGGUUCCUUAUGAUUUUUCCGGCGAUACCAAGAGAGCAACAACCCUCUUUCGAUGUUGCCUCUUCCCCUGUCAAACAAUAAACCCAAA
RNAcentral lists this long non-coding RNA (329 nucleotides) under Lactuca sativa (garden lettuce). Its description in RNAcentral is "long non-coding RNA (LSAT_LNC001154)". Lineage: Eukaryota; Viridiplantae; Streptophyta; Magnoliopsida; Asterales; Asteraceae. The record is from RNAcentral.